Molecule: ribosomal RNA, 1443 nt
Filed under: Klebsiella pneumoniae
Lineage: Bacteria; Pseudomonadati; Pseudomonadota; Gammaproteobacteria; Enterobacterales; Enterobacteriaceae
Description: bacterial SSU rRNA
Rfam family: Bacterial small subunit ribosomal RNA
Source: RNAcentral
AGCAAUGGGGGCAGCUACACAUGCAGUCGAGCGGUAGCACAGAGAGCUUGCUCUCGGGUGACGAGCGGCGGACGGGUGAGUAAUGUCUGGGAAACUGCCUGAUGGAGGGGGAUAACUACUGGAAACGGUAGCUAAUACCGCAUAACGUCGCAAGACCAAAGUGGGGGACCUUCGGGCCUCAUGCCAUCAGAUGUGCCCAGAUGGGAUUAGCUAGUAGGUGGGGUAACGGCUCACCUAGGCGACGAUCCCUAGCUGGUCUGAGAGGAUGACCAGCCACACUGGAACUGAGACACGGUCCAGACUCCUACGGGAGGCAGCAGUGGGGAAUAUUGCACAAUGGGCGCAAGCCUGAUGCAGCCAUGCCGCGUGUGUGAAGAAGGCCUUCGGGUUGUAAAGCACUUUCAGCGGGGAGGAAGGCGUUAAGGUUAAUAACCUUGUCGAUUGACGUUACCCGCAGAAGAAGCACCGGCUAACUCCGUGCCAGCAGCCGCGGUAAUACGGAGGGUGCAAGCGUUAAUCGGAAUUACUGGGCGUAAAGCGCACGCAGGCGGUCUGUCAAGUCGGAUGUGAAAUCCCCGGGCUCAACCUGGGAACUGCAUUCGAAACUGGCAGGCUAGAGUCUUGUAGAGGGGGGUAGAAUUCCAGGUGUAGCGGUGAAAUGCGUAGAGAUCUGGAGGAAUACCGGUGGCGAAGGCGGCCCCCUGGACAAAGACUGACGCUCAGGUGCGAAAGCGUGGGGAGCAAACAGGAUUAGAUACCCUGGUAGUCCACGCCGUAAACGAUGUCGAUUUGGAGGUUGUGCCCUUGAGGAGUGGCUUCCGGAGCUAACGCGUUAAAUCGACCGCCUGGGGAGUACGGCCGCAAGGUUAAAACUCAAAUGAAUUGACGGGGGCCCGCACAAGCGGUGGAGCAUGUGGUUUAAUUCGAUGCAACGCGAAGAACCUUACCUGGUCUUGACAUCCACAGAACUUAGCAGAGAUGGUUUGGUGCCUUCGGGAACUGUGAGACAGGUGCUGCAUGGCUGUCGUCAGCUCGUGUUGUGAAAUGUUGGGUUAAGUCCCGCAACGAGCGCAACCCUUAUCCUUUGUUGCCAGCGGUUCGGCCGGGAACUCAAAGGAGACUGCCAGUGAUAAACUGGAGGAAGGUGGGGAUGACGUCAAGUCAUCAUGGCCCUUACGACCAGGGCUACACACGUGCUACAAUGGCAUAUACAAAGAGAAGCGACCUCGCGAGAGCAAGCGGACCUCAUAAAGUAUGUCGUAGUCCGGAUUGGAGUCUGCAACUCGACUCCAUGAAGUCGGAAUCGCUAGUAAUCGUAGAUCAGAAUGCUACGGUGAAUACGUUCCCGGGCCUUGUACACACCGCCCGUCACACCAUGGGAGUGGGUUGCAAAAGAAGUAGGUAGCUUAACCUUCGGGAGGGCGCUACCACUUGGAUUCUUGC